This is a long non-coding RNA of Pleuronectes platessa (European plaice), 1728 nucleotides long. RefSeq lists it as uncharacterized. Lineage: Eukaryota; Metazoa; Chordata; Actinopteri; Pleuronectiformes; Pleuronectidae. The record is from RefSeq and is a predicted model, not a curated record. The transcript is spliced from 3 exons.
AUGGAGUAGAAAGAGUCACGGGACGGAAACCUGCUGCAGAUAAAAGCCCUGAAAGGUUUUAAUAAUCCACUUCAGAGCAGCUUCUGACGAUCACCUGGACUCACGUGAACUCUGCUCCCACUUUGCAAAUAAUUAGCUGAGUACUGGAAACCGGAACUCUUCAGGACAGAAGCCCAGGAAACCCAGUAACUGUUCAGUUUUUCCUAACAGCUAAAAUAAAGUGGAUAAGUUACAGCUGCUCUUUACGACUUCGAGCUUCUGAUUCACAGAGGAUUUCACAUUCUGUGGUUUGAAAUUUGACCUCAUUCCAAAAGUUUUCAAGGUUGAAGUGAAUCUUUCUCUUGAGGAAUCUGACGCUCCCAGCUCCCAGCUCCACUUUGAGAGAAGCCCCGUCUCAUCAGUGGCCCGGUGGAACGUUCAAAAUAUAAUAAAACAAAUACAUCAAGGUUUUACCGUCUUCAGCAAACAUGCAACAUUUAUAAAAAACAACCAAAACAUCUCUGUCAUACAUGAAUAAUAGGGAAUAAUAGUGCAUGAGAGGGAACUGCAUGAAUAUUGGUUGAGCAAGAACAAUCCACAAGUACUUGAACCUGGUGCACGUUCACUUCAGUUAGUACUUGAUCAGAGUUCCCACUGAAAACCAGCAGUUUACAAUUUGCAGUUUUUUAAACCAGUGGAUUUUAAUUGAUCUAGUAGUUUUUAAAGGAGACACACACAGUGGGUCACUUGUGCCACUGGUGUGUGUGUGUGUGUGUUUGUGUGUGUGUCUCAACGACGUGUGACACACAUACGACUGCAGCCACUUCCCACAGAGAACCUUUACUCCUGAGUUACACACUGAAGAAGUCUCCAGCUGAUAAGACCAACAGACUCAACCCCCCUCCAAUAACACAGUCCUGUGGAGAUAAGCAGGUGUGGACACACUGGUAACAAAAGGCGACUCAAGUGUCACGCUCCUUGCUGAUGGUUUGGAGAAGAAACCACAACAGUAACCGAACCAGGGGCAGAGAACACACUGGUUUCACUCGGUACCAGCGGGAAAGUAAGAACAGCCCCAGUGAAGUCCACGCUCCUUGAACAACCUCCCACACUGAUCCGCUCCCCAGGUUCCGGACUCUGUCGAAGAAACACGACGUGUCCGCAUGUCUCCGAGGUUCAGAGGAGGGCGCCACCUUCUGGCGAGUCUCUGCAGGACAGCUGACACAACAGGAUAAGAAUAACAAUAAUCAUAAUCACAAUAAUCAUAAUCAUAAUAACCAUAACUAGUAUUACUAAAUUAUUAUAAUUAUUAUUGUUACUAUUAUUGUUAUUAUUAUAUUGUUCUUUAUUAUUCUUGUAUGUAUUUAUUAUUAUCAUCAUCAUCAUAGUCAUCGUCAUCUUCUUCAUCAAAUAAUAAUAAUCAUUAAUAUGAAUUGUUAUUAUUAAUAUAUAAUAAUGUGUCUGUCUGUGAAAUGUAGUGGAGAAAGAAUACUGUGCUCACGUCAGGUAACACCACUGUGUAAUAUUUAUUUAUUAUAAACCGUAUCUACAGUAAGUGUGUCAGUUUCACUUGUGUUGAAAAGAGCAGAUAUAUAUAUUAUUUAAAGAUUCUACUGUGAAACUUUAAAUAUAAUUAUUCUACAUGAUCUAUUCUUUCAUUCACAUGUGAAGGAACAGCGCCUCCACGCGGUCAGAGCAGCGCACUCCAGCCUGUGGUGUCACAUUUCAGUCAGUGUUCACACACUGGUA